This 588-nucleotide ribosomal RNA is filed under the name uncultured bacterium. RNAcentral describes it as "bacterial SSU rRNA". It matches the Rfam family "Bacterial small subunit ribosomal RNA", at positions 338 to 916 of the family's 1533-position model. The record is from RNAcentral.
CCUACGGGAGGCAGCAAUAGGGAAUCUUCCGCAAUGGACGAAAGUCUGACGGAGCAACGCCGCGUGAACGAUGAAGGCCUUCGGGUCGUAAAGUUCUGUUGUUAGGGAAGAACAAGUGCUAGUUGAAUAAGCUGGCACCUUGACGGUACCUAACCAGAAAGCCACGGCUAACUACGUGCCAGCAGCCGCGGUAAUACGUAGGUGGCAAGCGUUGUCCGGAAUUAUUGGGCGUAAAGCGCGCGCAGGCGGUUUCUUAAGUCUGAUGUGAAAGCCCCCGGCUCAACCGGGGAGGGUCAUUGGAAACUGGGAAACUUGAGUGCAGAAGAGGAAAGUGGAAUUCCAAGUGUAGCGGUGAAAUGCGUAGAGAUUUGGAGGAACACCAGUGGCGAAGGCGACUUUCUGGUCUGUAACUGACGCUGAGGCGCGAAAGCGUGGGGAGCAAACAGGAUUAGAUACCCUGGUAGUCCACGCUGUAAACGAUGAGUGCUAAGUGUUAGAGGGUUUCCGCCCUUUAGUGCUGAAGUUAACGCAUUAAGCACUCCGCCUGGGGAUACGGUCGCAAGACUGAAACUCAAAAUGAAUUGACGG